Molecule: unclassified non-coding RNA, 202 nt
Filed under: Hevea brasiliensis (rubber tree)
Lineage: Eukaryota; Viridiplantae; Streptophyta; Magnoliopsida; Malpighiales; Euphorbiaceae
Source: RNAcentral
UACUCCAUGUAUAAUAUUCAAGAACGUAUGAAUCAAAAAUCACACACUCAAAUCCUUCAGAAACAUCUCAUCAUUAUUAUUCUUGAACAGACAUAGGAUUUAUAAAAGUUGAAAGACAAUAUCACUUAUUAUUAUACAUACAUAAUAGCCUUAGCCUUAACCAGUGUUCUGCAUUCCAGCAGCAAUACCUUUCAUGGUCAAG